GACGAACGCUGGCGGCGUGCUUAACACAUGCAAGUCGAACGCUGAAGCACCAGCUUGCUGGUGUGGAUGAGUGGCGAACGGGUGAGUAAUACGUGAGUAACCUGCCCUUGACUCUGGGAUAAGCCCGGGAAACUGGGUUUAAUACUGGAUGCUACAUGUCACCGCAUGGUGGUGUGUGGAAAGGGUUUACUGGUCUUGGAUGGGCUCACGGCCUAUCAGCUUGUUGGUGAGGUAAUGGCUCACCAAGGCGACGACGGGUAGCCGGCCUGAGAGGGUGACCGGCCACACUGGGACUGAGACACGGCCCAGACUCCUACGGGAGGCAGCAGUGGGGAAUAUUGCACAAUGGGCGAAAGCCUGAUGCAGCGACGCCGCGUGAGGGAUGACGGCCUUCGGGUUGUAAACCUCUUUCAGCAGGGAAGAAGCCACAAGUGACGGUACCUGCAGAAGAAGCGCCGGCUAACUACGUG
Molecule: ribosomal RNA, 470 nt
Filed under: uncultured bacterium
Lineage: Bacteria
Description: partial 16S ribosomal RNA
Rfam family: Bacterial small subunit ribosomal RNA
Source: RNAcentral